This 293-nucleotide ribosomal RNA is filed under the name uncultured bacterium. RNAcentral's name for it is "partial 16S ribosomal RNA". RNAcentral also lists the same sequence under 2 other names. The record is from RNAcentral.
GGACUACCAGGGUAUCUAAUCCCGUUCGCUCCCCUGGCUUUCGCGUCUCAGCGUCAGAUGGCGUCCAGGGACUCGCUUUCGCCACGGGCGUUCCUUCCGAUCUCAACGCAUUUCACCGCUCCACCGGAAGUUCCAGUCCCCCCUACGCCCCUCCAGGCCGGUCGUAUCGGCGCCCCUUCCCCGGUUGAGCCGGGGGCUUUCAGCGACCGACGUGCCUGCCCGCCUACACGCGCUUUAAGCCCAGUGAUUCCGAAUAACGUUCGCACGGUUCGUCUUACCGCGGCUGCUGGCAC